CCUACGGGAGGCAGCAGUGGGGAAUUUUGCGCAAUGGGGGAAUCCCUGACGCAGCAACGCCGCGUGAGUGAUGAAGGCCUUCGGGUCGUAAAGCUCUGUCAGAGGGAAAGAAGUGUAUUGUGGUUAAUACCCAUGGUACUUGACGGUACCCUCAAAGGAAGCACCGGCUAACUCCGUGCCAGCAGCCGCGGUAAU
This 195-nucleotide ribosomal RNA is filed under the name uncultured Geobacter sp. Its description in RNAcentral is "partial 16S ribosomal RNA". It matches the Rfam family "Bacterial small subunit ribosomal RNA", at positions 338 to 524 of the family's 1533-position model. The record is from RNAcentral. Lineage: Bacteria; Pseudomonadati; Thermodesulfobacteriota; Desulfuromonadia; Geobacterales; Geobacteraceae.